GACGAACGCUGGCGGCGUGCCUAAUACAUGCAAGUCGAGCGAGACUCUUCGGAGUCUAGCGGCGGACGGGUGAGUAACACGUGGGCAACCUGCCUGUAAGACUGGGAUAACACCGGGAAACCGGUGCUAAUACCGGAUAAUCCUUUUCCUCUCAUGAGGGAAAGCUGAAAGUCGGUUUCGGCUGACACUUACAGAUGGGCCCGCGGCGCAUUAGCUAGUUGGUGAGGUAACGGCUCACCAAGGCGACGAUGCGUAGCCGACCUGAGAGGGUGAUCGGCCACACUGGGACUGAGACACGGCCCAGACUCCUACGGGAGGCAGCAGUAGGGAAUCUUCCACAAUGGACGAAAGUCUGAUGGAGCAACGCCGCGUGAGCGAUGAAGGCCUUCGGGUCGUAAAGCUCUGUUGUUAGGGAAGAACAAGUACCGGAGUAACUGCCGGUACCUUGACGGUACCUAACCAGAAAGCCACGGCUAACUACGUGCCAGCCGCCGCCGUAA
Molecule: ribosomal RNA, 500 nt
Filed under: uncultured bacterium
Lineage: Bacteria
Description: partial 16S ribosomal RNA
Rfam family: Bacterial small subunit ribosomal RNA
Source: RNAcentral